CUCGCCCUUAAAGUUACUUUCGAGACGCCCACUCACUACUGUAACCACAGAAGCCGCGCACGCAGUGAUCUGAUUGGGUGCUGCAGAGCGCGUCUUUUACUGUUGUGAGUAGAGCCUAAGGAUGCUUUAUAAAUAGAAGACCCCAUGUGUCAACUUGAACUUGACUUCUUGAACAGUUAAAGUAUUCUAUUAGUCAUCGACGCAUUAUUCCCGCUUUUCAGAAUGUCUACAGAAAACUUCAGAAUGUCUACAGACAACUUUUCAGACUUGGAGCUGGAGCUAACUGAUCUGCUCCAGGAGUUCGCUGAUGUGGUUGAUGAGUUGAGAGAGCCUUCACAAAGCGUCCCAUAUGCAUACGAGCGGCUCCUGUCUGAUGCCAAACGGCGCACCGGGCUAGGGGACGACGGCUCAGUGGUCAGCGACAGCGGCGUGGAGGACAAUAGUGACUGCACCAGAAUGGGAGACACAGGAGACCUACAGAGAUUCAUCGACAGUUUGGACCGGGAACUUGCUGAUAUGUGAACGGAAAGCGACGGAGAGAUGUAGAGGGAGAGACGGAGAGAGAGAUGGAGAGAGAGACGGAGAGACCAGGUGGAGAGAGAAGAGAGAACAGGCUGCAUGGAUGGCUACUGCUGAACACACACACAAACACAUCUAAAAUAGCACAGUUCUGUCCUGCUGUGUUCGGAGAGAGCCAGCUCUGUCCUGGCCCCUCUGGGGGAAAAAAGGUUAAACAUGAGGAAUUAAAAGAACAUCAUGUUCCAAUAUCUAGAACACUUCCCUCAGACUGGUGACGUAUUCACACCUAAAUGUAUCUCUUCAACAGGAGAACAUGAACGUGUAUCUCUUCAACAGGAGAACAUGAACGUGUAUCUCUUCAACAGGAGAACAUGAACGUGUAUCUCUUCAACAGGAGAACAUGAAUGGGUGCCAUUUCAUAUGCAGAUAUGAAGGAAACAAAUCAGUGGGGGGGAAGCAGAGACUCCACAGUAUCUUGUGAUUAGUAAGUGUUUAUGCCAACCUGCUGUUAUCACAACCCAAUGUGUUGGAACCUCCUCAUGUACAGUAGUUGUAAAAAUGCUAUGUUUUAUAUUGUAAAGUGAUGUACAGUAUUAUAUUACCUAUACUACAAACAGACCAGUCUAACCUGAUGUUGAUUUUUGUACACAGGAAUACACAGAUGAAUAAAGAUACUAAUUUAAAAAAUAAAUAAUG
Molecule: non-coding RNA, 1215 nt
Organism: Salmo salar (Atlantic salmon)
Lineage: Eukaryota; Metazoa; Chordata; Actinopteri; Salmoniformes; Salmonidae
Source: RefSeq, a predicted model, not a curated record